AUUGAACGCUGGCGGAAUGCUUUACACAUGCAAGUCGAACGGCAGCACGGGGCAACCUGGUGGCGAGUGGCGAACGGGUGAGUAAUACAUCGGAACGUGCCCAAUCGUGGGGGAUAACGUAGCGAAAGUUACGCUAAUACCGCAUACGAUCUACGGAUGAAAGCGGGGGAUCGCAAGACCUCGCGCGAUUGGAGCGGCCGAUAUCAGAUUAGCUAGUUGGUGGGGUAAAAGCUCACCAAGGCGACGAUCCUGUAGCUGGUCUGAGAGGACGACCAGCCACACCUGGAACUGAGACACGGUCCAGACUCCUACGGGAGGCAGCAGUGGGGAAUUUUGGACAAUGGGCGCAAGCCUGAUCCAGCAAUGCCGCGUGCAGGGAUGAAGGCCUUCGGGUUGUAAACUGCCUUUGUUACGGAACGAAACGGUGAGCUCUAAUAAAGACUUGCUAAUGACGGUACCGUAAGAAUAAGCACCGGCUAACUAACGUGCCAGCAGACC
Molecule: ribosomal RNA, 498 nt
Filed under: uncultured bacterium
Lineage: Bacteria
Description: bacterial SSU rRNA
Rfam family: Bacterial small subunit ribosomal RNA
Source: RNAcentral